GGUUAUAAUCAUUGUUGUGUUAUGCGUCAUUCAUAUGAACUAAUGGGACCCACAAGGGGUCGGAUCCACAAGGGAUCAAAGAGCUGAACGGCCCACAAGGGGUCAGGUCCACAAGGGACCGAGACUAGUCUCACAAGAUGUCAGCUAAGUGAAAAAUUAUAAGAGUUCAACAUGUUAUGAUUCAUUACACAAUUGGUUAUAACUGCUUGCAG
RNAcentral lists this long non-coding RNA (212 nucleotides) under Salvia miltiorrhiza (redroot sage). RNAcentral's name for it is "long non-coding RNA (SMIL_LNC004325)". Lineage: Eukaryota; Viridiplantae; Streptophyta; Magnoliopsida; Lamiales; Lamiaceae. The record is from RNAcentral.